UCUUCCGCAAUGGACGAAAGUCUGACGGAGCAACGCUGCGUGAGUGAUGAUGGUUUUCGGAUCGUAAAAAUCUGUAGUUAGGGAAGAACAAGUACCGUUCGAAUAGGGCGGUACCUUGACGGUACCUAACCAGAAAGCAACGGCUAACUACGUUCCAGCAGCCGCGGUAAUACGUAGGUGGCAAGCGUUGUCCGGAAUUAUUGGGCGUAAAGCGCGCGCAGGCGGUUUCAUAAGUCUGAUGUGAAAGCCCCCGGCUCAACCGGGGAGGGUCAUUGGAAACUGGGGAACUUGAGUGCAGAAGAGGAGAGUGGAAUUCCACGUGUAGCGGUGAAAUGCGUAGAGAUGUGGAGGAACACCAGUGGCGAAGGCGACCCUCUGGUCUGUAACUGACGCUGAGGCGCGAAAGCGUGGGGAGCGAACAGG
Molecule: ribosomal RNA, 423 nt
Filed under: uncultured bacterium
Lineage: Bacteria
Description: bacterial SSU rRNA
Rfam family: Bacterial small subunit ribosomal RNA
Source: RNAcentral